AUUAUACUCCCUCCGUCCAAAAGUACUGGUCAUCAAAAUGGACAAAAACGGAUGUAUCUAAAACUAAAAUACAUCUAGAUACAUCCCUUUUAUCCAUUUUGAUAAAAAGUAUUUCCGGACGGAGGGAGUAUAUA
This is a non-coding RNA of Triticum urartu, 134 nucleotides long. NCBI's taxonomy places the organism in Eukaryota, Viridiplantae, Streptophyta, Magnoliopsida, Poales, Poaceae. The record is from Rfam.